CCCUUAGAUGUUCUGGGCCGCACGCGCGCUACACUGACGAAUGCAACGAGCUUAUAACCUUGGCCGAAAGGUCUGGGUAAUCUCCAAAUUUCGUCGUGAUGGGGUUAGAUUAUUGCAAUUAUUAAUCUUCAACGAGGAAUGCCUAGUAAGCGCAAGUCAUCAGCUUGCGUUGAUUACGUCCCUGCCCUUUGUACACACCGCCCGUCGCUCCUACCGAUUGAAUGGUCCGGUGAAGCGUUCGGACCGUGGCCUUUGGACGGUUCGCCGUCUGUUGGCUGCGGGAAGUUCGUUAAACCUUAUCAUUUAGAGGAAGGAGAAGUCGUAACA
This 327-nucleotide ribosomal RNA is filed under the name uncultured eukaryote. RNAcentral's name for it is "partial 18S ribosomal RNA". It matches the Rfam family "Eukaryotic small subunit ribosomal RNA", at positions 1470 to 1796 of the family's 1831-position model. The record is from RNAcentral.